GACGAACGCUGGCGGCGUGCCUAAUACAUGCAAGUCGAGCGAAGUUUUUCUGGUGCUUGCACUAGAAACACUUAGCGGCGAACGGGUGAGUAACACGUAAAGAACCUGCCUCAUAGACUGGGACAACUAUUGGAAACGAUAGCUAAUACCGGAUAACAGUAUUUCUCGCAUGAGAGAUAUUUAAAAGUUGGUUAUGCUAACACUAUGAGAUGGCUUUGCGGUGAAUUAGCUAGUUGGUGGGGUAAAGGCCCACCAAGGCGACGAUGCAUAGCCGACCUGAGAGGGUGAUCGGCCACACUGGGACUGAGACACGGCCCAGACUCCUACGGGAGGCAGCAGUAGGGAAUCUUCCGCAAUGGGCGAAAGCCUGACGGAGCAACGCCGCGUGAGUGAAGAAGGAUUUCGGUUCGUAAAGCUCUGUUGUUAGGGAAGAAUGGAUAUGUAGUAACUAUACAUGUAAGAGACGGUACCUAACCAGAAAGCCACGGCUAACUACGUG
Molecule: ribosomal RNA, 499 nt
Filed under: uncultured bacterium
Lineage: Bacteria
Description: partial 16S ribosomal RNA
Rfam family: Bacterial small subunit ribosomal RNA
Source: RNAcentral